UUGUGAUGAAAACUAAACUGAAUAGCUGGAAUUACCGUCAGAUUGUACAGUGGUGAAUCUUGGUUUUCUGAAC
Cyprinodon variegatus (sheepshead minnow) is the source of this 73-nucleotide small nucleolar RNA. Lineage: Eukaryota; Metazoa; Chordata; Actinopteri; Cyprinodontiformes; Cyprinodontidae. The record is from Ensembl.